Molecule: ribosomal RNA, 253 nt
Filed under: uncultured bacterium
Lineage: Bacteria
Description: partial 16S ribosomal RNA
Rfam family: Bacterial small subunit ribosomal RNA
Source: RNAcentral
UACAGAGGGUGCAAGCGUUGUUCGGAAUUAUUGGGCCUAAAGCGCGUGUAGGCGGCUUUGCAAGUCGGGUGUGAAAGCCCUCGGCUUAACCGAGGAAGUGCGCCCGAAACUGCAGAGCUUGAGUACCGGAGAGGAUGGCGGAAUUCCCCAAGUAGAGGUGAAAUUCGUAGAUAUGGGGAGGAACACCGGUGGCGAAGGCGGCCAUCUGGACGGAUACUGACGCUGAGACGCGAAAGCGUGGGGAGCAAACAGG